UCUGGCUCAGCUCCGUGCGGGGGGAAGUGUGAAAUCUCGGCUGCCGUGCGCUCACACAAAGCCGUUCUAUUCGCCGGGAUUUGUCGGGUCGAGGAGGAUCCCGUUAAAGCCCGUCGCUAAACGCGGUUCUCCCACCUCGUUCCUUCAUUCAGCAAACGAAAAAAAAAAAAAAGAGAGAGAGAGAGAAAAAAUAAAAACAUCGUCAAAAAAUCCCCACCAAACCUUUUCCUUUAUUUUAUUUUUUUUGCGCUCGGUGUGAAAAAGAAGUUGGAAAUAAUAAACAUAGGGAAAAAAGGGGUGAUUUGAGCAGCGUUGUUAUUGCUGCCACGAGAAGCGACGUGAGUUCAUUCCUCGAAGGGGCGGCAGACGAGAAAUAGUUGAGCCAAAAACGUCGGCGUUUAUUCCCCAAAAGAAAAUCUUCGGUUCUGUUUUACGUUGUAAUGUAAAAUGAGUGCGAGAAAACCACAAAAACUUAGGAAGGCUUUAAGGUCCGUAGGUGGUGGGAACUCAUUGAGCCCCAUUGUGUGGCAUCAUUGGGGUUUUUCCUAUUAUUCUUAGGAAUUCGGACUCUUUAUUGUGAACGAAAUGUUUUCUUAGCGCCCCUUUAUUCCCCUGGGAAGCAAACAAGCAAACAAACUAAACAAGCCCUAUAAAAAUAAGUUCAGCCUUUUUGGGUGACAUCCCAGGUGUGAGGCUGAUGAGAGUUUCUAAACUUGGGUUAAUCGCACUCAGAAUGGGUUGGGAGCGAAAAGCGCUCCUCCGGUUUAUAGGAUCCAUAAGGAAAUCAGGGACGACAGCGGUGGAAACGUUCGCGAUUAAAGCGGAAGGACAAUAAGUGAGAGCUUCUGCCACUCUCUUUGGGACAAAGGUGGAGACCUUCACAUCGGCUCUGCUCCUCGGGUGCCAACAUGGGGCCGCUUUGCAGCCGGACCCCCACAGCAAGAUGCAGCAAGAUGCAACCCUAAUGCGGCCACAACCAUGGGCCACACCGGUCUUAGGGCAGCCGUGACAACCUCCUAACACCCUUGCCAAGGCCUCGGCAGCACCCGCAGGCCUUGGCUGAUGGAGGAACGACAAGGAAGAGGAAGCCGGAGGACUGAGCGCGGGCACCGCCGCUCUUCCAGGGCCUCCACAAAAUGGCGGCGGGGCUCCCAAAUGGCGGCGGGGCCCGGCGGGGGGAAAAAAGCGCCGGCUCAGUGCCAGGGCCGCCGUGCAGGGCACAAUGAGUGGCACAUAACGGCCCCUCGCCGCGGCCGCUGCUCCGCGUGGUGCCAGCUGGAGCCCCCUCCCUCCGCCUUGGCACGGGCAGGCGCCCGGCGAUGGCCGCCUCAGAGGAGGAGGAGGAGGAGGAUUAAGGCCGCAGUUGUGUCUCCCCUCUUUCUUUCCCCCUCAGUGGCUGAGAACAGGAAACACGAACCUAUCUGAGACUAAUUGACUUGCAAAUUAAUCGUUUGUCCCUGUGCCUGAUAAUUAGUGCUAACGAUUUUUACACCCCCCCCCCCCUUUUUUUUUUUUUUUUUUUUUUUUUGCGCUCUCCUCCUCUUUAUUUUACAGGAGGCCCUUCUCCCUUUCUUCUUCUUCCCUUUCUCCUUUGCCAUCCCCCCAAGCCUCUGUUCUUCCCCAAGCCCCCCUCCCAGCUGGCCCCCGCCGUGGGGUGGGGACGGCUGUGGGUUUGGGGGCACCCAUAGCUGCUGGUUGGCUUCCCACGCCUCGGUGCCAGCCCCACAUCUGCCCACCGGAGACAAUGAGCGGGGGGCUACGAUGGGGGCUGGAGCUUUGCAAUGGGCUGAGAUGGGCAGUGGGGUUGCCAGGGAUGUGGCAUCGGUUGGGGCUGCAAGCAGCUCACGUUCCCAAACGUUCCCAAAUAUCCAGGAAACGGGUAGAAAAGAAUACAGAGAAUUGUAUGAGGUCACAAGGUGGGCAGCAGUGUUUGGAUUUCUUGGCAGGGCUUUUUUCCAAAGCACCAUCUGAGAGCAAGGUGCUGCAGGGGUAUGGAAGGGAUAAAGAGAGCAAAGCAGCUCUCUUGAGGCCAUUUCCAUGGACCACGAUAGCAUCUCAUGCCUGAGCCUGGGAACAGCAACUGCUGGGGCUGCAGGGAGAGAUGUGCUCAGGGUCCAGGCUGGAUGUGGCUCUGAGCAGCCUGGUUUGGUGGUUGGCAGCCCUGUACAUAGCAGGGGAGUUGAAACUCGAUGAUCAUUGUGGUCCUUUUCAACCCAGGCCAUUCUACGAUUCCUUGGUGGUGUUUCAAUACAGAAGCAGUUUUGCUGGAGCCAACCCUUCUAAUGCCACGUUCCACUUCUUUUAUUCUUUUAUGUCCUUUUGGGGCGGGGGGGUUGGGAAAGGUAAGCUCCCUUUUUCCCUAUGCUGGAUGGGGUUUGCAUGCUCACCUCCAUCCCUGAGGCACAUCUUCCUCUGCUGCCCCACCGUAGAUAAUUAAAUGGAUCCUUUUCCAUGUAGCUUGCCUCCCCGGGUGCGUCUGGUGCCUGACACGAUUUGUCAGCUGUAUCUCUGCUGUAAUCCCAUUUUUGCCCCCUCUCCCUGCCCUGCUUUGUGUUCAGGACUCCCUUCCCUCUUGUCUCACAGUUCCUGAUGCUCAGCUCUUCCUUCCCAGGGAGCCUGCAGUCCAUCAGCCCUGCUCUUAAACUUGGUGCUCAUGAACUUGGCGUGUUUGGUUUGAUCAGAGUUAAUUGCACACAAGCUCCAGCCGUCUGCAAACAGGGGUUCUUUGUUCCUGCAAGAAUCGCCUGCCCCAUAGGGUCACAGUGGCCACGACCUGCUGUCCCCAAGGGUCACUCUGCCAGCAUGCACUGUCAAUUCAAUCCGGGCACCGUAGCAGAGGGUGGGAUGCUGCAGGUUGCUGCAGCAUGAAGGCCAAAACAGGGAGAGGUGCAGCCAGUCAGCACCAUCCCAGUAGGCAACGGAGGCUUUGGGGUCAGGUGCAUUGAAAUAACGCAAUGAGCAAUGGUCAUUGAGCUUUAUGGAUGGGGAGAGAGGGUGACAGCGGUGUUCAAGGUGGAUUAACUCCUACCAGACUUAUACAGGAGGUCUCCCAGAUUAAGUUCAGUGGUUUGUGAAGGAUCCCUUUCUGCUUUGCCAGAGCAGCUCUGCAGCCCGUGACCAUGAAUCUGGUCGGCACACUCCUGCUCACCAGGCUCAGCCCCUCUUAAUUAACCCCCUGUGUCCUUAGAGACCUGAACCCCCACAUCCCUCUUUCCUGUGGGGCUUUCCAAGCUGCUCAGAGGCAUCCAUUGAAUUCUUAUUGGGUUUAUGUGUUCCCUCCACCAGGUUUCAUGGUGUGGUCCCAUGCUAGCACGAUGGGGGCCAUCGCUGCAAAGCCACAGCAGCAGAAGCCCAGAGGGAUGAGACAAAUCACUUUGCUGUCCUGGAGUACCUGGCAGCGGGUGCUGAAAAGAACCAGUUCCACCAGCACUGAGAUUGACGGAGGGCUGGAGGCACUGAGGGGUUGGGGGGCCAGAAAAGCCCUCCGACCUUCCUCACCCAGCCACGUCCUCCUCUGCUGCUGCUGGGGAAGGAAACCUCUAGCAGGUUUCCAUUUGACUGAGCUCAAGGGAUGAGUUAGGGCUCGUUUCGGAGGGGCCAGGGGAUGGUGGCUGGAGGCAGCAGAGGGCACGAGGCCCUUGGGAGCAUUUCCUCAGGCAGGUGGGAACGGUCCCAGAAGGGUAGAGGCGGGCGAGACACUGCCUUCAGGCGCUUUCCCAAUCCCUCACACCUGGUACUCCGUCAAUGCAACCACUUGGCUAAAUGUGGGUCAUUGUAGGAGGGUGCAGCCACUCGAGCAAACAAGCCUCAAUUGCCCACUGAUUGGGGUGUCUGAGAGCACCGUCACUGAAAUUUCUGAGGGGGGAGGCAUUAAUAAUCCCCAUUCUGUCUCCGCAGCCCUUGCCCCCUUGUUAUUUCCCUCUUUGUGUCUUAAUUUGGCCCAUUAUUAUUAUUUUAUAAAAGGGCCCUUUCUCCACCCCCUCCCUCUUGAAGACACUCCUUAGACCGAUGGGAAAAUGGCAAGGAAUAAUUAUGAAAAACAUCAGUGGAGAGAGGGCCAUCUGAGAGGGAUUAAAGGAUUACAAUUAAAACUCAUUUUAGGGAGGUGGUGUGACAUUAGCGUUUCCAUUCUUCCCCCCCCCCACCCCCCUUCCCCAAACACCCUCUGGGCUAUCUGGGUCUAAGUUGAUUAAAUGACAAACUCCAGCUCGGAGGGAAACAACAACAAAUUAAAAAUAGAGUAAAAUGGGAGGGGGGAAAAAGGAAAAAAAAAAAACAAAAAACAAAAAUCCCAAAAAUGAUUUGCAAAAUUGAGGUCACUGGGAAUUACUGCAAGUUCUAGCAGCAGCUGGAAGCAGGGUGGACAAAGCACCUGCUGCUAAUAGCAGGUUGCUGGUGAUGGAAUCAUCUCCCCUCCGCCUGGUCCUGCACAGGGGAAGGUCUGCUUGCAGCACACUGCUCUGCAGCAUCAGUGCCAACCUUGCAGUUGUCCACGCUCUGCUCCACGGUCCCACAUCACCAGAGAGAGGAUGGAGUGCAGACCUCGUGCCCACAGCCCUCGUGUCCCUCAGCCCAGGUUUGCAGCAGGGCUGCAAGGUGCAAUGCAAGCAUGCAAAAUGCAGCCGGAGCCACGGAGCCCGUGUUGCUACUGCUGUGCAUCCCCUCCUGUCACGGCUGCGUGGCACACUGUGCUCUGUUCUCACUGAUCGGGUUUGCAUUUGGCAGCUGCUACCCCUGCUUGGCUCGUGAGGGCUUCGUGGUGGCUCGAUUUCAACAAGUAAAAUGAAUUAUGGGAUGCUUGCCUGCCACCGAGGCUGGUGGUUAUGGAGUUUGUAAUGGAGGAUUUCCCUUUAUAAAACAAAAACGCCUAUAAAGCAUGUGAUUCUGAUGACACGAGCACCUCAACCUGUGCUGGCAGCCUUGUUUGAAAGGGAGAUAUGGGCUGAUGGGAGGCAGACAUCCAACACCAGCUCUGUGUCUGGGGUGUUCUGUAGGUGGGAGCUUCGAGCGCAAAGGCUCUGACCUGCAAGCACAGAUCUCACCAUAUAAACCAAACCACGUGCAAGCACAUGGGCUGGGGAUCCUUUCCCCUGACCUAUGCCUUUCAUUGACAUUGGGAGCACAGAGCAGAGCACCCCCUGCACCCCCUGCUCUGGGUUGGACCCGCUGCUUCUCUCCUUGGCAUAGCAGGGCACCAUCACGUGGCUGCACACGUGGGCACAGCGCUGUCAUGUGAGGUGCCACAUCGUUGUCUCAUAUUGUGAGGCUGCAAAAAGCUGAACGGAAGGGAAACUCCCCCCCCCCCCCCCCCCCCACACACACACACACUCCGAUCCGGCCUAUUUUCUUUCCUCUCCUUUUGUUUCUGGUUUCCGGAACUAUGCAGCAAAGCAAAGCAUGGGGAGAAGAAAGAAGCUGAAGAGAGCUGGCAUCUGGCAGGGAAAAGAGCAAAAUAGCAGAGCAGGGCUUUGGGCAGAGGUGCAAGGUACCCCCCUCCCCAAGCAGGGGCUGCCUGGGACCUGGGUGAGCCCUAGAAAAAUCAAUCUGAACACAGGAUGGGCUCCAUAAGGGACUCCAGGGGGAGCCAAGCCUUGAAUUUAGGGGCUGAGUAGGCAUCCCUCUGCAGCCCUUGUCCCUCACCCCCUCCUGCAUGCUGCACUCAGCAUUGGCAGCCUCGUGCUGCAUCCUUUGCAAAGCAGAGGGGGGACGAGUUGGGGACCAUCCUUCUGCAGCACUGUGUGUGCUCCCGUGCUGUCCCUUUGCAGGCAGGGUGAGAUGCCAGAAUAUAUUUGAUUCAUGUUUAUUUAUUUUUUUUUCCCCCAUCCCGGUCAGUGCAGAGGGGUCUUUGCAUACAGUCCCAAAUGAAGAUAAUGUUAAUUAGGUCAAUUAAUUAGGACCGAGAUGCACUGUUUUCCCCCAGAGUAGAAAAUACAGUAAACUCCAUUUUUUAUGAGCUGUUUAUUCAGCCCGGGAGGUCGCAGCAGAAUAGCAGUGUCAAAGGAGCUGCCAUUGCCAAGGUCCUCGUGUCCCCUCCGCGCCGCCCCAGAAAGGGAACAAAACUCUGUUGACAGCAAAGUCCCAGCAGGAGCCCUGAGCUGAGGGGCACAGAGCAGCGAAGCGGAAAGGGUGCCAGCUUCCCGAGCACCAGGAGGGAACAGGCUGCAGUCCCCAGCAUUUCAAUGGGCCGGGGGGAAGCAAUCAGGCCUUUCAAGGGUUGUUCUCAUCAGCGCAGAGGGGACAAUGUGCUGCUGGCAGCGGGACAGGGCGCAGGGGACAAAGGGCUGCCCGUGGUUGGACACAGCUCUGUCCCAUCUCAGGGUGCUCCCAGACCCCUGGGCCAGGGGCAGACCCGCGUGGCUCUCCUUCUGUUUUAUGUUAUCCUUUGGGAUGCACGUGAUGUACACCUCCACCAGCAAGCAGAGGGUGACAGCCUGCCGACCGUUGCUGACUGAGCCUCUCUCUUGCAUUGCUUUCCACUCACUGCACCCCAGAAGCCCGCAGUCGGCAGAGCUCAGCCCAUGCCCAGUCUCCCAGCUGCACCGUAGCUCUGCCCAGACCCUUGCAAUGGGAUCGGAGGGUUUAGGAUUCUGCUGCCAUUGUGGGGUUUUUUGCACCUGGAUGUGCUCAAUGCAUACCCUGCAGCUCUUCACCAGCGUUGCCCACAGCUCCAUCUCCCGUCAGCAUCGCCCUGCUUGCUUGCAGGGCAGUGCAUCCUGGGAAUUUCCUUCCCCAGAAUGCCUUCACCCCAACCCGAUGGUGCACACAACCAUCACACUGACCCCCCCCUCCUGCUGCUGACCAGAGCGAGGAUGAAAGCAGCUCUUUUCUUUUUUUUCCCCUCUCUUUCAUUCAUUCAUUCAUUCAUUCAUUCUUUCUUUCUUUCUUUCUUUCUCUCUUUCUUUCUUUUUAAUGGCGUUUCAUUAGCCUCCAAAUCAGACAGGCUAAACAAUGGCGUUCUGUCAGCGAUGGGCUUUCGUGCUGAUUUCAUCUCCUCUCUCAUCCGUAUGCAAACCAGGCUCCAGCAGGCUUUGGCCAUGCCAUGGAAACCGAGGUGCAGGCCCGGAAUGGGGGUUCUCAGAGUGAGAAAUCUCCUGUUCGCUUUUUCCCAUUUGCAUAAUGCAACUUUUCUUCCUGCAGACACUGAGGCGCUUUUGUUUAUAGAGAGCUGAGGGAAAGGGGGGUGCCGGGGCUGGGGGGGGGGGGGGGGGGGGUCUGCAGGGAAGGGAAGGCAGCGCUCACCAAAGGAGAGUGUGUGGAGAAAGGCACGGGGCGACUGGGAGGGAAUAAAUAUGAGGAUGGGAAGCAGGGGCUGCAGUCAGGCCGCCCCCACCCCCGUGCCACAGGGACAUGGGUGCUUCUUAGGCCAAAGUUUGCCUGGGUGGGGGGGUUGUGCUGAAUUGAAGCCUCUGAAGGGAGUGGGAACAUUGGCCAAAGCCCGAUGUGAAAUGCUGUAAAGAGCUUCAUGCAUCAAAACUAGAAAGCAGUGCUGGUGGAACCCAAAGAAGCGGAGACCCCAGUGGGGUAACCUCCCCAAAGGGAGGGUGGCCAAGUGAAAUGGGGAGGGGGGGGGGGGGUGAAAGCAUCAUCCCAGGCCCAUGCACAGGCACAGGUGGAGGUAGAGGUGGAGUCACACAAAACUCCAGCUUCUCUCCCUUGAAAUGCAGCAAACUGCACGGGGAUGCAGGGAUGCAUCCCAAAGUCCCAUCCCCACCAGCACUGCCGCUUCAUGAGAGCAGCACCCCCAUAGCCACACACCUCUCCCUCUGCCACACAAUCCAGGCCUGUUGCAAAUGGGUUUGAGAUCUGACUGCAAAGAGCUGCUCUGAUGGGUCUCAGUGUCCCCAAUGGCUGCAGAGCCUUGUGAAGGAGCCCUGUCUGGUGCGUGUUUAAUAAUAACUACAAUAACAGCGGUGAAAUGUGUUCAUCGGCGGCGGAUAACAGACGUGAAAUCUGCAGCUCAAAGUAUUUUAGGAUCUGUAAAAAUCCCUGCGAGUGAUUUCUGGACGAGGUACAGAUGGUAAAAGCAAGGAUCGAAUUUUUGGGAUAUUUGAGGGUUCAGCCUCGAAGUGGAGUCGCUCUGUUUUUAAGGCAGUUUGGUGCAAGAUGCUGAGACAGAGGUCAGCCAGUGGGUGCGAGUGGGAGCAAGUCCUGCUGGUGCUGGAGGAAUGAGGCUGAUGGUCCGAGGAUGGGCAUGGGACGCUCCACCAGACCCAGCAAAGCUGCCAGCAGGAGCCGUGGUGACGUGGGUGCAGAUUUAACCUGGAAUUGAUUCAGGCCCCACCGGGGCAAUUUGUGCGUUAGGUACGCAGUACUCCAUCCUCCUACAAAGAUCAGCUGAGAUUCAUCUUAGCUGAUCUACCUAACGCCAAACAUUCAGUGUCUUGCUGUGGGCAGGAGAGCACCAAGGGUGCACCUGCCGUUUCUCACCUCUUUCCCAGCAGCUCCUGAUAUGGGCUGACUCCAUUCCCAUUUGGCUCAGUGCAGUUGUCCAACUCCCAGGCUGCAGGAACUGCUUUGGGGCUCCAUUUAUGCUUGCUGUUUAGCUCUUACAAGCAGCUUCUGCUUGCAUGCAAGACCAGCAAAGGGCUGUGGCUAUUCUCUUCCUUCACUGCAAGGAAAGCAAUCCCUGCACAGCUGGGAUGCAAACAGCCUGGGGAAGCAGCAGAGCAACCCAGCCCAAGGAGAAUGCAUCCCAAAUGAUCCUCACGUGUUGGCUGUGGGGUGAGGAUGUUGUCUGAGUGCACUGGGGCAGCGACAUGGGGGAAAGCAAUGUGUUGUUGUUAAACCAUUGCGCAUGGGAGCAGGGUGAGCCAUUCUGCAGGGGGUCCGUGCCUGUUGGGAUGCAUUGGACUCUGCUGGAGCAGGGAGAGGGCUCCCAGCAUCGCUUCCAUCCCCGGUCCACUGGUCAUGCCAAUUUGUCACCAAGCUGGGAUUUCAAUUAAACCCCCAAAGGAGGGGUCAGGGGUUAUGCAAACACAGAGGCAGAGGCCACUCGCCUGGAGGGCUUCCCUGGGGCUGCUCCUGCCGGCCCCUCUCUUUACACAGCCCAGAUUGACCCAGGCUGAGUGCCGGCAUUGUUCCCCACGCUCCAUUCAAGAGCCCGUUUGUCAAUAAAAUUGACCUCUCGGCUCCCGGUGAUGCUGCCUCCUCCUCUUCCUCCCUAUCCUUGAAGCUCAGUCAGAGUGGAUCUGACAGUGCCCUCCGUGGUCCUCAUGCCCUGGAUGUGCCCUGCAUGCGUCAGGAGCAGGGAGCAGAAAGCAGCACUGCUGGGUGCUGCAAUGACCCUGCUUCUUUGCACUGCUCUCUGCCCUUGGGACUCUUGCAUUUGACCAAACCCACUUGGCAAUAUCCAGCUGGCACCCUUGAAAGCAUCAUCAUAAGCAGCAGCAUCAUUUGUCCUCUCUGGUUCUCCUUUCAUAUUCGUUCCCUGCUAUUCCCAUGACAAUCCCAUGAUGGUUUGCUGCUCCUUGCUGCCCACGGGGACUCAAAGGUAUUUUGCUCCAGGUCCCAUUUCCCCCCAUCAGCAUCUUCCCAUGCCAGCUGUUGCCCACGGACACAGCUACCCCAGCACCCUCCUGCUCUGUGGUGCACCACAAGGCUCCCCGUGGGUUUGGACCAUGGGAUGAUGGCUGCUAAUUUUGCCAGGCAGCAUGGUGAAAGGAGCAAUGCUUGAACCUGUGAGCAGAUUCAGCUGCAAGAUAAAGAUGUAUUGCAGCGCGAGUGGCAAUUAGUGUGGGUAAAGAGCCCCUUAGUGACUGUCCCUUACAUAACACCUUUGUUCCCAGCCCUUCACUUUACAUCCAGUUUGUAAAUAAACUUGACUCCCAGUUUUGCUGGGGCCUCAGUUCCCCCUUGAUUUGAUUUUAUUCUUCAUUCGAGCUGGCAAAGAACAAGCUGAUUGUUUGCCUGUACUGCCCAGGCACCCUGGAGCGGGCACUGCAGCCACCCAUGCUCUGGGUGCCAACGAUUUUAAUUGCUGUGCCCCCAGGGCCAGUGCCCAGAGAGGCUCAUUAUGCUGCUAGCAAUGAUUAGCGUCCUGCAAACGGAGCUUUGUGAUUGCAAGGGUCAAAGUUGAGGAUGCUUCUGUAGGGGGGCAGCUUGGCAGCAAGGCUGUGUUCUGCCCCAGGAGUUUGGGGUCAGGGAGGGGAUGUGGAGGACUCAGGAUCACGUUCAAUGCAUGACCUCAACCACCCCAUGUCUGGUCCAUGGGUCUGGAAGGAUUUGGGGUUUGGAUUUAAGCUACAUUUAAGGUCCUUUCCAACCCACACCAUUCUGAUUCUAUGAUUUGCACCCACGGGCAGUGCCAGGAUGCUCUGAGGCACAGUGCCUUGGUGGCACUCACACCUGGGGAAUGGCAGACAUGGAGCACGGGUGCUGCUGGGUGUUCCUAUGGCACAGUGAUGCCACGUGGCCAUCAGAGCUGUCAGGCACCGCUCUUUGUUUGGAGCAGGGAUGCCUGGGCCCCUGUGCCUCUCCGAGCCUCCCCGCUCCCAUCUGGUGCCCAUUAUCAGACGUGUGCACCAGCCCUGUCUGACAAGGAGCUUUACAGGUGUCGCUCAGAUAACAAUUCACACUCUAACGAAGGUGGGAAAGAUGAUUAGCCGGCUUUCUAUCAAGCAGAACACAGCAUCAGCUGCUCCUGAGGGGGGAGGCAGUAGGGGCCAUGGAUGUGUAAGGACACAUACACCAACAACACCGCAAGCCUGGGCUUUGUCCUGCCGCUAAUUCCAGUGCACUUGCGGGCACCUCUUUGUGUGCCUUAGUUUCCCCAGCUGUAGCAGAGCUGUGGUUAUUGCUUUUCCUUGAGCAACACCCUCCGAGCAGCUGAUUGAGCUCAGGAAAAAAGAAAGAGGAGGUGAUGGAGGCAGGGCCCUCAGCAGCUGAGCUGCCAACGUGGAGGGCAAGGUGCUGGCAGAGCCAGGGCUCCCAGGGGACAGAGCUGGGAGUAGGGGUGCAAAUGGGAGCUAAAUGGCGAAUGAUAAAUGGGCUUUUCUGGGCUGUCCCCUGUGCUCUACGGAUGGGUUGUGAGGGGUCACGGGGACGGGAAACUGAGGCACGAGGGGCUUUGGGCCCUGCCACCGUGCUCAGGGUUUGCAAAGCAUUAAGGCACGGAGCCGAGCCUGCGUCCCACCGGGUGCCACCAUCACAGCGCCCAUCUGCACCCCAGUGCCGGGGCAGAGCCAGCACUGCCUCUCGCUCCGGGAUUAUCCGCUCAGCCGCGCCAUCUGUUCACCAAACUGCCAUCAUUAUGUUCAACUUGGGAAGAAAACGGCCCCUACAGAGAAGCAAUUUGUUCGCUGACGAAACCUUUCAGGCUCUCGCCGUCCCCACCGACCCUCGCCGCCGUGCAGGCCGGCCCUGUGCUUGCCUCACUUAAACAGUCUGCGGGGAGAGAGGUGUGUGAGCGAGGCACGGGGAGGGUGCAGGGCUCCCUAAUCCGAUUAUAGGGCAUAAGAGCCUUCAGAGGGCCGAGGAGGAAGAGGAGGAGGAGGGAGUUGCACUCCGUGCCCAACCCCAGCCCCGGGGGUCUUGCAAUGAUCUCACUGGAGGGGCUUUUCUUCGCCUCGCAGUGGGUUGCUUUUUGGGAGGAGAUCAAAAGGGAAAGGGGCUGCCUGGGAAAGCGGGGGGGAGUGAGUGGGGUUUGGGGCUGCAGGCUGGAGCCCAGCCCCAAUGCGCUUCUGCCUCCCAUGGGUCAUGAGAAGCAUCUUCCCCAUGCAGCAGAGCCUGGAGGGGGGUUAGGAUGGACCAGGAGCAGAACGCCCAGGGCCUGCAGUGAGGAUGGAACCUCACGUCACACUGCCGGGCUCCUUUUUGGGGGGGCAAUGCAGUGGAACCAAAGCAUCCAGCACACACCUUGAUUUCAUUGGGUUCUUAGUAAUGAGCAAGUGGGGAUCCCUGGGAACGUUAAGGCGUUGGUUUGAUGUGUAUCAAAGGCGAACGUUUUCAACUUCUGCUGUGGAACAGUGCACCAGCCUCCAAAUUUCUCUCCACCGUUUCUAAAAGGAAUUAAAGAGCCCCAAUUAAAGCGAACAUUUUCGGUCAGCCUGGAACCAAGCAGUUGGUUUGUUGCUGGUUGUUUUUUUCCCCCCCCAUCUCAUUUCAGAUCUCAGUGUAUUUUCAGUGCGAUGCCAACCAGGACCAUGGGGGCAUCCGUCUCUCAAGAGGACCGAGUGAUACUUCGCUGCUUUGGAGGAAGGAUGGGAGGAGGGAGACCACCUGCAUGCAGGGGACCAGGCUGUCACCACGGCCUGGCCCCGAGCUGUGGCACCCUCUGGUGGCUGAGGUAAUGGAGGGGUCAGAGCUAAGCAUGAAAUCCAUG
Gallus gallus (chicken) is the source of this 12319-nucleotide long non-coding RNA. Lineage: Eukaryota; Metazoa; Chordata; Aves; Galliformes; Phasianidae. The record is from Ensembl.